This is an RNA transcript of Pangasianodon hypophthalmus (striped catfish), 8507 nucleotides long. It is a transcript of the gene named leucine rich repeat transmembrane neuronal 4 like 1, with no coding region annotated. NCBI's taxonomy places the organism in Eukaryota, Metazoa, Chordata, Actinopteri, Siluriformes, Pangasiidae. The record is from RefSeq and is a predicted model, not a curated record. The transcript has 3 exons.
GUGUGUGAACGCGCGUUUUCUCUCCGUCGAUGGGGAUGUGGGUUUUUCUGAUGCUCGCGGCGCGCGCAGGACCGAUGAGGAUUAAUAAUAAUAAUAAUAAUAAUAAUAAUAAUAAUAAUAGUCGUGUGCUCGGUUAGACUGUUUAUCUGCGCGCGCUGCAGCAAACAACUUUUGUUUUCGUUUGGCUGUUGGUCGUUUCAUACUGCGUUCAUAUCCGCCGCGUUACUUUGGCGCGCGCACUAUGCUGCUCGGCGCUCCGGCGCUCACGUGGCUUCUUUCCGGUGCAUUUGGACCCAACCGGGGGAGGCGCGCGGCCGCUCGGUCAGUGCGUGUGCGCGCUUUUUGGGCACCUUAAGGACAGAUUUUUUUUUUUUUAAUUGAUAUCUUUUUUUGCAAGCAUGUUUUUUUCCAUGAAGGACCGACUUGAGCCUUGAGACUUACGACUUAAGACUUGAGGCGCGUGUGCGCGCGUGCCUCCGUCUUCAUCAGGUCUGCAGCGCGAGGAGACCGUCGGAGAAUCUCCCGAGAAACCGGAGGGACGCAAAGUGCACGAGACUGGAGGCGACACGCAGCAGAUAUGGGUCUGUCGAUUUGUGCCAAGAGAUUAGCAUGCCUCCUCUCUCUCCUUGCCACCUUUCUCCUUCUUCUCUGCUCCGGGGAGAAAACAUGCCCCUACAGCUGCCGCUGUGAGGGUAAAAUCGUCCAUUGUGACUCAGCAUCUUUCAUUGACGUCCCAGAGAACAUUUCAGUAACUUGCCAGGGUUUGUCUCUGCGAAACAAUGACUUGCACACAAUGCUCCCUUACCAGUUUGCCCAUCUGAACCAGCUUCUCUGGCUGUAUCUGGACCACAAUCAGAUCUCAUAUGUAGACAGCCGUGCUUUCCAGGGCAUACGACGUCUAAAGGAGUUGGUCUUAAGCACCAACAGGAUCUCACAACUACACAAUGCUACGUUCCAUGGUGUGCCAAAUCUCCGCAGCCUGGACCUAUCCUAUAACAAACUCCAGGAAUUGCAGCCAGGUCAGUUCCAUGGUCUUCGAAAGCUACAAAAUCUGCAUCUACGCUCCAACGGGCUCACAACAAUUCCUGUUCGGGCUUUUAUAGAGUGCAGAAGCUUGGAGUUUCUGGAUCUGGGGUACAAUCGACUUCGCGUCCUCACGCGUACCACAUUCUUGGGUUUAUCUCGGCUGAUGGAACUGCACCUGGAGCACAAUCAGUUCUCUCGGAUCAACUUCUUUCUUUUUCCACGCCUUGCAAACCUCCGUGGGUUGUAUCUCCAGUGGAAUCGUAUCCGAGCAGUUAACCAAGGACUCCCCUGGAUGUGGUAUACCCUACAGAAGCUGGACCUGUCUGGCAAUGAGAUCCAGAGUCUGGAUCCUGUGGUUUUCCAAUGCUUGCCAAAUCUUCAGGUUCUUAACUUGGAGUCUAACAAGCUUGCUAAUGUGUCCCAUGAGACGGUGGCAGCCUGGAUUUCCCUCUCAACAAUCAGCCUCGCUGGGAAUGUCUGGGAUUGUGGGCCGGGCAUUUGUCCUCUUGUUGCCUGGUUAAAGAAUUUUCGUGGAACUAAGGACACAAGUAUCAUUUGCAGCAGUCCUAAACAUCUUCAGGGGGAAAAGGUUAUGGAGGCAACAAAAAAUUAUAUAGAUUGUGAAGAUUUUGAACUCAUCCCCCAAACACCGUUUCCUCACCACACUUGGGAGUCAAGUAUGGAAACUACCCCGGAGCCAAUCUUGCCUUUGACAACUCCCGAACAACCCCUGCCUCCAGCCACCUCUGAACCACCCAUCCCACCAUUGUUAGCUCAACCUCUUCCUUAUCCUACUAUGCCUGAAACUAACCCCAGAGACACCCCUCCGAAUACGCCACCACCAUCCAACAGCCUACUAGUGACUCCAUCUCCAGAACAAGAGGACUUAUCCUUCCAUAAGAUUGUCGUUGGUGGUGUGGCACUUUUCUUUACAACAUCACUCAUCUUGACAGUGAUAUAUGUCUCCUGUAAACGGUAUCCUGGAGCCACAAGGCUGUUGCAACAGCGCUCCGUGGUUGGACGGAAGAGACGGAAAAAGAGUCCCGAGCCAGAACAGAACCUGAGCUCCCAACUGCAGGAAUAUUACAUGAGCUACAACCCUGCUGCUACGCCGGAAGCCAUGGAUGUACUGGCCAAUGGGACUGGUACUUGCACAUGUACCAUAUCCGGCUCCAGGGAAUGUGAGGUAUGACAAUGUCAAGGGCAGCCUAAAAUCAAAACAAAUCAAAGCAAAUGAAACGGCUCUGGACAACAGAGAAUGAAUAUGUGUGUCCCAGACCACUGCCUCGAGCCUGGAUCGGAGACAUUCCCACAAUUCACUAGCUGGACUUCUAUCUCCACUUGAUCAUCUGCAACAGGGUUCCUGUAAAGAAUUUCCAUCACUUCACAUCCCACUUCGGCCAUUUCCUUCCGUUUGGAUUGUAGGAGUGUACCAGAGGAGCGAGCAAGUUGUCCUUUCCCAGAAUCCCUUGCUGUGAAAGCAUUUUGUAUUAUAAUUCUCGAGACAGAUUUUUUGCGAAAAAAAACAGUUUCUUUUAAUCGCCUGCCAUUUUUUAGGAGCUUCUCCACUGCAGCCUUGUGACAUGGACUUGUGAAGGACAGCGUGGAUGUGGACGUGGACGUGGACGUGCACGGCUUCAGUGGUGCCUUUUGUGCAUUUUGUUCUCGUCCAUUUUUUUAUCCGGCAGGAAUAAACGAUUUGGAAUCAAAUGCUAAACUAAUGAGCAGUGAGCGAGUCAGGAACGAGGAGAUCAUCUCCUGGAUUUUCAUCCAUAAUCUUCUUCAUCAUCAUCAGAAUAAAAAGAAGGGAUUUUAUUCGCGUUUUUCCAGUCGGACUUAUUCCAUGCUAUUUAACAGUCUUGUGUAUGAGAACGAUGACGACUUUGUGAUGACCCUCGGAUGACCCUCGGUUGGUUGAACACGUAGUCUUGUUUACAACCUCAGCAUGAACACGGAGGGUCUCAAACACUUUCACACUGACUGCAAAGCAACACGUGUGUGUGUGUGUGUGUGUGUGUCUGUGUGAGUGUGUGUACAUACUUACUUAUGGGACAAAGACGUGUGCAUGACAUUCGGGUGUCAACGUGGUUAUAGGGACUUUAUUGUUGGUUUCUUGGCUUCUUUACACUGUAUAAUGUUUCACCCUGCGUUCACACGAGCAAGCGACAAAGUGACAUCAUUUCCUUUAAAUUUAUUAUAAAAUUAAUUAGUUAACUUGAGAGUUUAUUAAAUGAAUGCAACUUAAAUUGCAAAUGUAAAUGGCUCUGUAAAUACCCCAGGCCUGAGUUUAGGUUUUCAGCAAGUUUUUUUUUUUUUUUUCUUGUUGCAGAAACUUUCAAUACUGUGUUUUUUCCUUUUUUACCACAUUGUAUUUUUUUUUAAUAUAUUUUUUUUGCCACAUGACACCAAAACUACAAUAGGAAAUUUUUUUGUAUUCUUGUUUUUCCUUUUUUGUUGUUGUUUUGUUGUUGUUGCAAAAACGUUCAGUACUGUAAUUUUCCUUUUUUUGCUCCUUUUUUAAUAUAGUUUUUAACAAUACCUGAUACCAAAAUUAAACUAGGAAAAAUUGAAUAUUAAAAUAAAAUAAAAGAAUAAUAAAAUAACAUACAUUAUUUUGUUUUAUUUCUAGUGUAGGUUUUUUUUUUUUUUUUACAAAUUGUGGUAGGAAAAAAUAUUAAAAUAAAUAAAUUAAAUAAUAUCCUGUAUAAACUUUAUAAUUUUUUUUUUUUUUUUUUUUAAUUAUUUAUUUGUUUUUUGUUUAUGUUGAUUUUUGUUCUCAGAGCUUUGACUCACUUAUAUCACAUGUUCACCUGUAAGAUCAACAAGCAAACAGCUCUUUUUUAGCUCUUUUUACCACUGGCUCUCUUUAAAGUAGCAUCAAUUCGGGAUUUUACUUCCUGUUUCUGUUUCGUUGUCCGUCUGAAUCGAAUCAGCUUUAGUGACUCGUCUAUGAUAUAUAACGUAAUAAAAUAUCAGUCUUAGAGUUAGUCUGUUUCAAUAAAGACGUAAACGUGUUAAAAAAAAAGGUAUAGUACUGAAUUUUUUGCCACAUUGUGGUGUUGAAAAAUAUGUGCUAGGAGCUCAAAUUAUGAAUUCUAAAAUAAAUAAAUCAUAGAUUAUAAAUGAAACUGUUUACAUUUUAGCUUCAUUUAUAAUCAGAGCUUAAUAACGCUGAGCAGGAGAUUUAUGUACUACUGCGCUGAUGAGUGAUGACGGUGGGUGUUAUCCUUGUCGCUUGCUUGUAUGAACUCAGGGUACGUGUGUGUGUGUGUGAGUGAGUGUGUGUGAAUGUUUUUUGCUUACGCUGCCGUUUUUUUACCCUCUACUCAAUCUUCGCUUGUCCUUUUCCAGAUCUGUCCUUCGUCAUUUCUCUCCACGCUUGACUCCUGAUCAUUUAAUCAUUCCUUUUUGAAACGAACUCUAACGUUUUUUGCCGCCAACAUGUUUCUGUUUUCUAACGCUGUCAGAAUCAAUGGUGAGAAAUAUACACUGGUCCAAAUGGAAAUGAGUAUUGAUGAGUCGUAAUGAAUUGCUACCAACAGAGUUAGAGAGAAGGGGAAAAAACAGUAAAGGAGGGUGAAAGUAAAUGAGUAAAAUGAUCUCUUUCUCCCACAAAGGACUCAAAGAUUUGCUCUUGUUGGUUAAAAAAAACAAUUUAAUUAAAAAUCAUGAGGGUCCAGUUACAUAAAAUUCCCUGCAUCCAACAUGAAUAAAUAAUGAUAACUUUUUAAUUCUACACCAUUAAUGUUUCAUUUAUUGCUAUAAAUUCCACACAUUACUUUCACUUUACAGCUUUUUUUUACUAGCUCUUUUUUUUUACUAGCUGUAUUACGAAAUAGAUCCACUCAUCUUUAAACACAGUUUUUGUCAUCGACUUGUUUAUUUUUGAACGAGCCAUGUUGUCACUUUGCUGAUCACAAGUAGAGAAGGUAAAUAAAUCUAUUAAAGUCUGUGAAAACACUUUCCUUUCUUGAGGAGAUGCCUUCAGCUAAACAACUCGUAUAAAUGCAUGUGAUUGGUCAUAACAGAGGAACUGCUCCAGAAACCCAGGAAACAAACAGGAAACGAGUCCACCAUCUUUAAAGAAUUCUUCAACAUUUUCUUUUUAAAACAUCUAUAGUAACAGCUCAUUCAAGUAGAACCCUUUCAGGAGCAUGAGAACCCUUAGUUCUCCAAGUAGAACCCUUUUGCAAGCCAAACAACCCUUUUAAGUUGUUAAGUAGAACCCGUUUAAAUGAUAUGGUGAAGUUUUCUGUAAGGAGAAUAAAUGUUUAUUUAGCAUCCUGGAAGGAGUCUCCAGUGUCAGAUGGAAAGCUGAAACUUUAAGUUUUCCAACAUCUUCAGGACAGAGGAGUUUAGGCUUUUUGCAGUUUGGUGGUAACAUGAAAAGCUGAAUAUUUAUUUUCUUUUUAACUUCAAGAGAGAGAAAAGCGAGAGGCUGUGAUGUGUUUAGUGAUUCUGGUGCUAAUUUGUUGGUUGGUCCAUUAUCCCCAUGAGAAGCAGGGGGACAUGACUAUUAGAAAAAUAAUGACGAUCUCAGAUGUAAGUGUUAACCAUCAGGUUUUUGCUGUUUUUGUUUAAUUGUUUGUUGAGUUGUUCAGACUAGGUUUUAAGUUUAAUAAUGCAAUGCUGACUAUCUUCAAACCAAAUCUGUCAUAAAAAGGAAACGAGUGUGAUUACAUUAUUCCUCAAAGCAUAAGACAACAAAUAAGACAUCCACCGAGACUUGAAGUGGAUUUAUUUGCCUGAGAAAUUUAUCUAUUUCACAGAAAUGCUCCAGUAUAUUUUACUAAAUAAUGUAAAUGACACUUUUCAGUUGAAUACAUGCAACAGAUGCUAAUAUGUCUGUCAGUGCAUGAAAGCUACCAGUAAGGAAAAAUAUUUCUUAAAACCAUCAUCAUCUGUCAUUUCCACGCAUCAGUGUGUGACAGGAAUAUUACACCCUCCGGCUGAUAUUCAGUAGCGAAGGAGAGAGAUAAUCGUACACAUAUCAGACAAAUCCCUAACAGCACCUCAGAUAGUCCUGACUCGCUCUGGAACUGCCACGUCUCUUCGCUUUAUCAUGUGUUUCUAAACCUCGGUAUGUUCUCUAAGAGUCUCUGCGGAGUUUCAGGAAGUAAAUUUUAUUUAUAUAGCAAAUUAAACCAACUAAUGUUAAGUCAGAGUGCUUUAAAACCUUAUAACUGCAAGUCACACAAACAUAAAACAGAUUGAUGCAACCACAAACCUUCACACAUUCAGCAGGUUCCAGACGCUGUGUAGAAAUACGGUCAAUUCCGUAAUUAUUGGCACCCUCCAUCAAAAUGAAUAGAAGAUGCUAUAUAAAAUGUAUUUGUACCAUGAGCAAUAUUUUCAGCUUAAACAUAUAGGACCUCUGCACAGUUUUAUUUUAAGAAAAUAGAAUGUUUUUUUCUUAUAUAAUGCCAUUUUUUUUGUCUGGUUCCAAAAGUAUUGGCACUCACUAGAGUUAAUUUGUAGUGAAAGCUCCAUGAGAGAACAACAGGUUGGACAUUUCACUAUUAUACUCUUAUCUUACAUUUGUACAAGCACCGAUGUAUCACGUGUAGUUUGUCACUUGUGGUCGUGGCCUGUCCAGCAUUUUAUUUUUAAAAAUCCAAACAAGAAAUGGAAGCAGCCAAAAUGUAAACUCUAGAGUCUGCUCUAAGUUUUACACACCACUUUUUUAUUUACAUGUUACAUCUUAGGCUUCAUGCUAGCAUAGAUUUUCAAUUAGAUAAGCAGUAGAUUAGCAAGAUAAUUGUACUAGCUGAAACCAUGGUUAUAAGGUUUUUCCAUUUUUGUGCAUCAAACAUUAAUAGUGUUCGAUGAAUCAUUCAAGCUAAUCGAUUUGGACUUCACAGCAUCAUACCUAACUUGUAUAGAAUUAAUAAAAUCUUGAUUAAGAUGCUCCUGUCAAUGAAAUCCGGAGACUGUGAUGGUCGUUACAAAACCUGUGUUGAUUUGGAUGUGUGUUUGGUCUCAUUAUCUUCCACUGAGCUGUAACCUCCUAGCAGAGGCAACCAGGUUUUGGUCUAAAGCACCCUGGUACUUCAUAGAAUCCAUGAUACUGUCAGUCUGAGCUCCUGAACCACCAGCCACAAGGCGUCAGUGAUCCACUGCCAUAUAUUACAGUGGGUUUGUGAGUUUUUUCCUUCAUUUCAGAUUUUUUUUUUUUUUUUUUUAGCAAAUCUGUCGAUGAUUUUCAUAGCCAGAAUGAUUUUGGUCUCAUCUGACUACAACAAAUGAUACCAUCUGUAGCCAAAAUAAGACUUGGUGGAGUUCAUGAGCUAGAUUUUGUAGGUUUUUCUCAGGAAGGGCUUCUUUGGUGAAACCUUUACAGAGAGCUUGGUAUUAUUGAUUUGAUGUCUAAGAGAUGAUUUUAAAACUCAUAAAGCCUGAGAAUUAACUAACAGUGCUUCAUGGUAUUUUUAACUAUUUUAACCCUGUAUUUCUUUUUGUUUUGUGGUUUCUCAAAUUGUUUGAAUCACUGUGUUACGUUUAAUUUAUACAGUCAUACAUAAUGAAUAAAUCAUUCUGUGUCAUGCUCCUAUAGGAAAAUAAUCAACAACAGGGUGGUGUGAUAAAAGCGGACUUAUUGUUACCAUGCCAAAGUUGAUUAUUUUCUUACAACAGCAUAUCCCAAUGUAUAUUAUUCCUCUUAUAACACAGCAAAUUCCAACCUUUACAACUGUUUAACCACAGACAAGAUAUUUCCAUAGUAUUGUGGAACAUAUAAUACAAUGCAGUUAUAUUAUAGCAGCUAUAAACAGUCAUUCCCUCACUAGUCUCUCUUUUUUCACUCUUGAACUUAAUAAGACAAAAAAAAAACAUCUUGUCGUGUUAAAUGUAAAAUGAGCCCUGUCCUGAAGAUGUCAGAAAACUUCAAGUUACAGCUUCACCUCUGACUGUUACAAAGCACGGACACUGGAGACUCCUUCCGUAAAUGUUAAAUAAAACUCUCCUUACAGAAAACUAUAACAUCAGCGAUUUUUUUAACCUGAUUAUGUGGAGCGUCUGCUGUCCUGUGAAUGAGCUGUUAAAUAAGUUAACAUUUUAUUGUUUCUUCCUUAAGGCAUUCCUCCAACAAUACAUUUUACCUUCAGUAUUACAGACGAGUCGGCAUGCUCUGAUGAAUUUUAGGGCACUUCUGUGGAUGAUAACAAUUAACUGAGUAAUUAAAGGGGACAGGAGGCGAGGAACGACAUCAUUACCCGAACCAGCUCUGCGGCUCAUCAGGACAGGAUUGCUGAUUGCUCCAUCAGAACUAAUGUUCACUCUCAGAACCAGACUCCAUUCACACAGCAAAACAAAGUGAAAGGACACAAGCUUCUGCAAGAUUUAACUUUUUUUCAGGCUAUUCAUGCUUGUAAUGUAUUAUUGUUUCCCCGCAGUGACAAAACUGACUCCGUUCAUGAACGGCUUUAUAAUUAUUAAAUGAACCGAAGAAGUCGUGAUGGAGCAGACGUGGAUGUGAGCACAGA